AUCAGCGCAGAUGGUACUGCCACUAUGGUGGGAGAGUAUGUCACCGCCUUUC
Molecule: ribosomal RNA, 52 nt
Filed under: Lutibacter maritimus
Lineage: Bacteria; Pseudomonadati; Bacteroidota; Flavobacteriia; Flavobacteriales; Flavobacteriaceae
Source: RNAcentral